AUGUCUCAUCAAGAGUUAAUAAGCAGGUAGUCAUUGAGUGUUUCCUGUCAGCAUGUGUCUGUGUGUCAGAGUGUAACAGUAUAGCUUGUGUGUAUAUGCGUGUGUGUGUGUGUGCUGCUCCAUUUUGUCAUGCAACAAGUACCUUCUCAUUUUGGCUGAAACCAUGUGGGAUAAAGAAACUUGAUAAAUAAGUGGGAUUUUCUGAGUCAUCUGCAGCUCUUCUCCAUACCCCAUCUUGGACAGCCUGCCCAAGGUAAAGGAAGUGGAACUGAAGACAUGACCCUGUUGAAGACAAGUGGUGGGAACGAAGGGGCAGAGAGGUCUGGCUAAGAUGGAGGCACACAGAUUGUCAGGAGCCCAGUGCAGGUGCUCCGAAAGCAUGACACAAGAGAACCAGAGCUCCAGAAAUCCCUUCCCUCUUCCCAUGUUGACUGGCCACAUACUCAGAAGUUUUGUCCAAAAUGCAAAAUAUUAACUAGUGAUUUCAGAAUUGAAACUGAAGUCUUUUUGACUCCAUUGUUGAGGCACUUAACCACUGUGAUCCAUGAAACAUUUAGAUAUGCUCUAUUCUCACUUAACAAUACUGAAUUUAUGCAAUGACUCUGAGGAUGGUCUGCUCUUCUACAAUUGUGUGCAAACUGAUGUUCUUAGAAACUUUUAAGUAUGCACAGCUGUUUUGAGAAGAAAAUAUUUUGAUAGAGAAACUUCUGCUUCGUUUCAUCUGGGGAAGAAAACAAUGGAGCUAUCAAAUGCUGAAUGGAAAAGUUUGUAUAAAAAGGCAAGAGCAUCUAGAGUUGCCUCUUUUCAAGGAAGAAGGAACAUUAAGAGAAGUGUGGGCAGGGAUCUUUCUGCUGGAGGCUAAUUGGCAGUCCCUUUGGAAGGAAGCCAGAAAUGUCAUCUUGUUUCCAGCCAGGGAUAUUGAUUUCAAUACUAAUGGAGAUUUGAACUGGACCUUGAACAGUUUACAAAAGUUCCUCCCUCUGGUCAGGAAGCCAUGGGCUUGAUGUUCAAGUGAGUUUGGGAUGUGCUCUGUGGCUAUGUAGCAAGCGCCUAUACCUCUGUCCUGUCAUCACACUGAUUCUCAACAUCUUUUCUCUCUCCUCUUCUGCACUGGGAAACAUCAUCCUGUUAUAGAGAAGUGCAUUUACAGCUGAAAUUACCAAAGUGGCCUGUUACGUUUAUCAAGACAGAAAAAGAAAAAAGAUUACAGUUUGUCCCAGCUGUCUGCAGAACAGAUCUCCUGCUAUUAGAAGGGUACUGAUCCAUGUUGGUUUUUUUUCCCUCUCUCCCUCUUAAAAAUUAAGUAUAUGUAGGAAUACCCUUCAAGAUGUGAUUUCAGGGGAAAAACAUGAUGAUUAGCAGGACAAAAGGUCAGGGCAUUCCAGAACAUUGAGUUUUCCACAUAGCUGCAUUUUGGGGUUGUGUUUCAAAUCUGCCACCACGUGUGCUUCUAUCUCACACGAAGGGUAUCAGGGAGAUCACUAAUCCCAAGGGAAGGUUUUUCAGAGAUGAAUUCACACCAAACUGGAGUGGGGUUGAGGAAAGGAAAAAGGAGGCUGAAUUCCACUUACAAUGGCUAAUUGUUGUGACUAAUUCAGCUUUUGGAAGGUAGAACUCCAUGGAGUGUGUGAGCUGCAACAUGGUUCCUGUUUUAAUUAGUGGCACCACAGGGAGAAGAUGGGCUUAUAAUUGAGUAGUUUGCUGAUCGGUCAACUUCAACCCAUAAUCAGACAUGCUGAGAAGUGGACAUUAAUGGGGAGCUUUGACUAGCAGGAAGUCUGCCCCAUUAGCAUAGCUGGUGUCAAAUCAGGUUGUUGUCUUUCCUCUUGAUUCUUUCAGGAAGAAGAUGCCAAACAAAAUGUUUUCUAGACUAGCUCUCUCACUCACUCUCCAUCUACUACAUCUCUGUUCCCAUUUUGCUUAGCAAAUCUCUGCACAGGCACACUAACAUGAAAUGAAUGACUGGCGUUUCCAUCUUGCAACUUUCCCUCCAAGAUUUAUUGUCGAAUUCUCUCUUCUCAUGCCAACGCCACGACUAUCCAUCACAGUAUACAAUCCCCUUCCAUAAAUGCACCUUAAUUUUUCUUUGGAAAAAUUCUCUCCCUCCCAUUCUGUGGAAUCUUGAUGAGACUCUUAUUUAAGGGUUAGACUCUCUGUUUUCUCCUCCUACACAUCCCCACCCCCACCAAGAAAGAAUUGGAGUCGUGAUCCAAAUUAGGCCAUCCGAAUUUUUUUCCCCAAAAACUUUGACUCUCGAGAAAGAUGUCAGAAAAGAAAAAUAGUUGAAGCUAAAGUUUCUAGUAGGAAACUGUGAUCAGAUUUUUUUCUCUCUCUCUCUUGCUAUGUAAACCCCUAAGCUGUUGGUUUCCUCUCCAUUUCUUAUCCUAAUUCUCAAUACUUGCCCAUAUCUGCAAGUCCUUCACUCUCCUAUGUCACCUUCCUCUCUGCUUAAAUUAGGCAGAAUGAGUUUCUGUUGCUUGUAGUUGAGUAAUCCCAAAUGAGAAGGUAUCCAGGAGAAAGCACCCCAAUGUACAGCUUCAUGUUCAUUCUCCAACAUCCUUUUCCUACUCCCAGUAAGAAAAUGUGCAGAAGGAAAGAAAAUCAUACUUAUGGUAUAUGAGAAGAUAAAUUUAAAAAUGAGAAGAAAUGAAGCACUCUUACUAAUGAGUCUGGGUUUAGGGCCUGGCGUGAGUGUCUUCAUCCCAGAUGUUCUCAUGGGAUCUGCUUGGAAGCUGCAUUCCCAUGGGAUUCUCACUGUUCUUUGGACCAUGACAGUGAUUUGUCUGGCUUCUCUUCCUGUUCAGUUUUCUGUCAGGGGCCCCCGCACUCAUUCAUGCCCUCAACUAUUUGGGGUUGACUGCUGAUACAUGCAUAAAUGUCAUGCCGCAUCUAUGCAUGUCAUGCAGCAUUUCCCCGCAGGAGGGGGAAAUACCACCUACCCUCCAUUUCCCGGCUGUAUUUUGGGCAUGGUUUGUAUUAGCUAGCUUAAAGGCAGGGAGUAUUGGCAUGUUUUCAGAUGGGUGUGUUGUACAUGUGUGUAUACUCUGUUGCCAAGCUACCCAGGGUUAACACAUCCUCAGAGCUUCACUCGCCUGCCCAGCAUGUUCUUGGUGCCUCUGCUCGGGGGAAAACACCCACCUGGGCUUGGGGAGACCCUAAUGUGUUUAAAAUGGUGUUUCACUUAGAUGUACAAAUCAGGCAUUGGUCCUCAACGCUAGUCUGGGGUCAAGAAGUUCCAGCAGCCAAAAAAGCCACAAUUCCCACCCUGUAGAUUACAAACUGUGUGUUCAGAAUUUUAAGGAGUGAGCUGAGGCUUUUCCUGAGCUGAGUAGGAUUUAUACCUUUCACCGGUUAUGAACACAGAAGUGACAAAAAUAUACAUACAUGAGGGCGUUCACCAUAGUUAGAUGGGGGUCAGGGGAAGGAAAGCCAGCUUGGCCAACGCACUUUCAUAACCACAUCAAUUCAGUGCUUUCACGGGCUUGAUUUUCUUUCAGCCCAAUCCACUAAGGAGUUGCUCACUAGUUCUGUGGAUUUUCUGCACAAUUACAGAUUAUUGCCAUGGCAACAACAGAACCAUGUGACAACUUUGCUACCUCGGAGACCAGGAACAGCCACUUACGGGCAACACACAUCAUCUCGUAAAUGGGACUCUGUACCGUUGGCCUCACAUUGUUUUAAGGCUAAUCACUGCUUUUUCACAGAUGUAAUUUUUCCCCCACCCACUCUAUUUUCAUAAUCUUUUAAAACAAUUUGGAUUUGCUCUAAAGCACUUCCAUAUUGGCCUAUGUUCAUUUGGUCAUAAUAAAGGUAUUAUUUUGGUGGACUGAAGAAAGGAAAAAGAGGGGUAAAACCUGAUGGGUGAAGGCAGAUGGGAUGCAAUGGGCAAAGAAGAAACAAUUUUGCUAGCAGAUGGUUUUCUUGCCACGAUGUUACUAGAGUUGAAACCCAUGACAGUUCUGAAAUUCUGGGUUUGCCACACAAAAGAACAUGCUGGGAAUGAAUAAAAUGUGCUAUCUUACCAAAUGAACUCAACUCUUCUGUCCACGUUGCAGGCACAAUCAGAAAUGGGGCCAUUGAUAAUGAAGUUAGAGAUGUGAUUGAGAAGGGGAACCAGGUAAUACUUGUUCCCCGGCAAAACAAUCAAUUUAUUUUUCAGAAACUUAUGCACAUAGCCAAACCCCAGGCUCUUUCUGCCAAACAUUUUCCCUUUAAUUUUUUAACCUCUGGGCAUUUCAAGGAAAAUUGAAUCCACAUGUUUUCAGAUUCAUUUGCAAAUACAGUUUGCUCAGAGCUGUUUGAUGACCAGUAUGCCCUUUGAGUGUUUUUAUGAGCGCCAACUUAUUUUCCCCCAAGCCUCUUGCUUCUGAACCAGGAAGUGGCAUUUGGAGUUUGUAGCAGAAUUAAGAAACGAUCAUUUGCUAAAGCCUUUGCCAAGUGCUCUUGCCUCUUUCUGGAACCUGGUAAAGCUUAAAAAAAGGUUUUCACCCAGUGCAUAAGACGAAUCGAGGGUAACUUACUGUUUUUACAACUGAAAAGCAGACCUGAUAUGGACACGAUCCAAUUCCUGGAUCACAUGGCUUCCCCAUCUUUCUUUAUUACUGAUGACAUUUGCAUGGAAGCAGAUGCUUUCUUUCCCAGGGACACGUCUCCACCUGUGACAUAAUUCCCUGAUUGCAAUAAUGCUUCUGAGACAGGGUUGGAAGUUUAGAUUUAACCCUCCCUGCAGACAAAAUUAUAGAAAACACUCUUUGUUUAUUAUAAGUGAAUCGUAUCUGCAAAGAAGAAGGGGCCCCUCUUACUAUGGACACAUGGAAUUUGGCAACUGCAUGUUUAUUCUUUUCUGUCUCAGCCAUAUGACCCAAAACAAAAUUCUAACUUCCAGAAAGCCCCGCAUAUGUAUGGGGGAUGUGUGGGGGAUAUUUAUGUAUGUGUGUGUGCCUGUGUAUUCUAGGUAUUAUUCAAAAGAUACUCAGUAGCAAGGAGAAGAGCAAUUGGGAAAGUUGCACAGAGCAGGAACAAUGUCUCUAUGCUGGGGAUUUUUCUGAGUUCAGUUCUCAAGUUUCCUUUGAGGCUGCUCUGAUGAAUUCCACCUGCAUUCCAGGACACUUUUGUUAAUGAGGAAUUAGUCUGAGGAGUUCUCUGGAUAAAUAUUUGUGAGCAAAUAACAUUCUUCCUGGAAGCUCAUUUAAUAUGGUGUCUAUUUUUUCUUCCUUCUUUUUUUCUCUUUACCAGACUUAUGAUCCCAGAGAAACUCGCACUAAAUUCACAUGCCCUAUUUUUAACUUUCAUCUGGACUUCCUUCUUUUUUUUUUUUCCUUCAAGCAUGAGAAUCAAGCAAAUAAUGACCCUUUGUAUUGUGUCCAGUGGAAGGUCACAAGCCCAGGGAAUUUACUUAAGUUCCCGGGAGAAGUCAGGCUGUAAAAGAUUCAUGUGCACGGACUUCAGAUGGUACCAUUUUGGUUAUUGGGUCUGCUAAGUACAUUCACUUCCAUUCUACAAACAAAAGCAACUGGUGAAUGAAUACAGCAAUAGUUUUGGCUUUUGUAGAGAAAUUGACAGUACAUUCAUAGCUUGGCUUCAUCCUUGGCCCACCCAAAUCAAGACAGUUAAGUGGAUCCCAGGCUGCUGACAUUGCUUUGGUCAGCUACAGCCUAUAGAAGAUGGCAUUGAUAGACAUGACCAGAGAUUUGAGCUGUCAGAUUGCUCUUUCACUGUUUUUAAACCAUUGCAUGUUUUUUUCCCCCUAGAAGACAUUCCUUAGAGUUUAUUAUACAGAAGAGGAGAAGAAAGAGAGGAACAAAUGUGCCUGUUGGUAGCUUACUGGCAGUUACAGCAGGAGCCUCAACUCUGCUGUACUCAGGACUCAGGUGGCCCAUCUGAGUGAGUGCAGUAGACCCACAGGGAUGUGCUGAACUAUGGGUCACCCAUCCUUUCUUAUGUGGACAGCUGCUACUUAACUCAAGAUGACUUUUUGCCCUAUGGAAUGACAGGUCUUCUUUUGUGAUAAGUCAUACAUUUACAGUUUUAGAUGAAAUACUCUGAUUUUAAAACCUUGGGAAGUACUCAAAACUAUGACCAUGUAUGAUGAACUAAAGACAGUAGGCAUGUGCAGUGGGUUAUGGCUCUUCUGGGUACUAAACAAGCUCAUUAGAGCAGCCCAAAUGAGUGGAGAGGCAGUCAACACAGAAGAUCGCCUGGCCAUUUUCAAAACUCCUGAUCUCAGUGCCAAACUGUGAUGCAAAGUUGUAAGUCAGAGGCAACUGUGGUUGUGCUCAAGAGGUGGGAGGAGCAGCAUGAGGUAGGUGCCCCAGGGAAGCGGUAGGAGGAUGUUAGUCAUGACUUGCACCCUAACUCGGGUGAUUCAUUUAUGUAUUCAGUUGAUACUAUCUAUUGAGUACCCUCUAGGUAUCAGCACCAUGCUAGACAUUAGAUAUGUGGUGAUGAACGAGAAAGUUAUCGUUGCUAUCUUCAUGUGUGGAACAUAGACAUAUGCCAAUAAUUACACAAAUAAAUGCAAAGUGUCCAGUGCAAUGUGUCCUCCAAAGGAGAGGUGUGGACUGUGAAAAUACAUCUUUGGAGGAUUUGUUCUGGUCAGGGUGGUUGAGAAAGGCUCCCCUAAGGGAGUAAAUCUGCCUAUUGUAGGAAGGUGGGGUAGGAGUUACCCAGGCACAGUGGGAGGGAACCACCUUUCAGGCAGAAGAAACAGACCCUGUGGCAUAAGGGAACAUGAUAAAAUGCAAGAACACAAUUUCAGGGUUAGUGUGGCUGGAAUGCAGAAAGCAAGAAGGAGCUGCAGAAUUGGGCAGGGACAGACCCAGCAGGGUCUUGUAGGCAGUGUUAAGUUGUCAUGACUGACCUUGGAUCCAGGCAAAUUCAACUGAGUGAUUUUAACCAGGGAAGUAUAGGACUAGGACCACAUCUUGAAAAAAAAAUCAUUCUGGCUGUAGAGUGGGGAACAGCUUAAUCAGAAGCAAAAGCGUAGGCAGGGAGAAACAUUAGCAAACAAUUGCAUUGGACCGGGAGAGAUGAUGCCAACUCCGACUAGGGUGGUGACUGGAGUUACAUAGACAGGUGAAUAAAUUGGAGAGUGCCAGGACAUACAAAUGGGAGGAGAGGCAGGUGCAUGUGACGUUAAUUGUCUUUGUCAACUUGGCUAGGUUACAGUACUCACUUCCUAUCAAGCACUAAGUUAGGUGUUUUUGUGAAGAUAUUUUGCACAUGUAGUUAACAUCUAUAGCCAUUUGGCUUUAAAUAAGGAAAGCACCAGUGAUGGGGUAAGUGGGCCACAUCCAAUCAGUUGGAGGCCUUAAGAAGUAAAAACUAAGGUCUCCCAGAGAAGAUAAUAUUAUGCCUCAAGCAGCAGCAUUAACUCCUGCCUGAGUUUCCAGCUUGCCAGGCUGCCAUGCAGCCUCUGUAUGUGCUAGUCCCCAAGAUUGUGAGAGCCAUUUCUGGUUCCACUUAUCUGGAGAACCCUGACGGAUACAAUACAUAUUAGAAAUGUGCUAUGACAUCUUUAAGAUACUAUUGUUCCUUCAAAUAAAUAAAUAAAUAAGUAAGAUCCAAAGGAUAUCAAAUCCAUCCCUACAAAGAAAUGUUGCAGACUCAACCCAUCCAUUUUUUCAGUAUGAAUAAUGGUGGGACAGGGAGAUAUGUCUUUAGACGAAGAACAGGAGUAUGAUUGAGAGAAGUAGGAAAAAAUACAACUCUUUUAAAUAAAAAUGGAAAUGACCAAAUAUUUCACAAAAUGUGAAACACUUUUCUUUGACAAAUAGGUCUUUUCAUUCUAAUGCUUUCUGAGUCCUUAAAGAAAGGGGGAGAUGUUGGUAAAAGCCAGUGCAUUUUCAUAUGCACAACCCCUAGAGUCUAAGAUUGUCUGGUUUUCCCAGGUUCUCAAGUGCGGAGUUCCUACAGCUGGAUCAAGGUUAAGGUCCUGGGUGAGAAAGGCUGAAGAAGCUCAUGCUUACCACCAAACAAAUCCACCCAGAAAAUCUAGAGGAAGUGCAAUAAAUCGGUGGCCUCCAGUUUCCAUUACUGUGAGCCCUUUAACCCCUGAAGCCAAACAAAAAAGUAAAUAAAGUCUAAGAAUAGAACUGGCUUUAACUUUUUUUUUUUUUUUUUAAGGAAAAGCUUUCCUUUUAUCUCUGCUUUCCCUCUCCCCUACCCCUUCCCUCUGUGGUUCUGAUCCAGACCUCCUCUGGAGAGAGGCAAGUUCACUGUCUAUGUGGGCUGGCAAUGCCAGGAAAGAGUCCGUUCAGGUGGAGAAUCUCAUUCUGCAGUGCUCCCGCUAAGCAGCCCUUUCAACGUGCUCGCCUGGUGACUCUGGCUCAAUCAUCAUAUUCUGGAAAUGCAGCAGGACUCAGUCAUGAGCCAGCUACUGAACUGUCUUAGUCUCCCCCACUGUGGCUGAAAACAGACUGACAUGAGGAAAUGGAUGGGAACUAGAGUAAGCGCGUCUCCCCACUUCCUGAACAGGGUUUAAUUCCAACAGUGACAUCAUAUUACAAGACCAAAGAGAAGAAUACAAAGAAGGAAAUGAAGAAAUGUCCAGAUAAUGACAAGAAUUUUGAAAUGGCACUACUGUUUUCUAAUACCAUGGAUGUACUAGAAUUACACCUAGCAAACUAGAUACAGAUACUUUGCAUCUAAUAUAACAAAGGUGGUUGUUUCUAGCAUUUGCUUCAAUGCAAAAGGUGGAAAGAUCUGCCAAAACAUCAUAUUCGACAAAAUCAUUAGAAGUGUGUUGUAGAUAGGCUUUGCAAAACCUUUUUGUGUUGAUCUUCCUUGGGUGAGCAUUCUGGAAAGAGAAGACCUGGUGGUUUACACAGAGCUCCCAAGUUGCCAUCACACUAAAGACAGAAUACAAGUUUGCUGAUACAGACACAGAAAGGCUGUAAGUCCCCACCUUCCCCCGCAGCUUUUCAAUAGAGCAACUUUUGAAACAAUACAAUGACAUGCAAUUCUAACAGGAGGAUGGAUCUUGGUAAUUUUGAAUAUUUCAAUCUAAAGAAAAAGGCACAGAAGUAAAAGGAGAUAUGAAGAAAACAUGCAAAACAGGGAUCUAUGCAGAUGAUGACAAGAUUAUGAAGUCCUCCUCAGCAGCUAAAAGGUCAGGUAUUUAUGAAUUUUUUAUACAUUAAAAAUGGAUACCAGCAUGACCUCAUUAAAGAGCUAAUAUUAGUAGAAAAGGAUAGGUCAGUGUCAAAAGCAAUGUCUGAUUCCCAGUACAAGGUACCUGGCUUAAUCGACUUUUGUCAACCUCAACAAAACAUGAGUACAGGCUGGAUACAGGCUGUCACUCCCAAUUAACACAACCUUCGAGUUUGUCCUUGUUUAGUGUCAAGAAAUUAUAACACAUCCUCAAAGAGACAGUCGUUAGACAGUAGUGUCGCAUUCACACCUGUCUCAUACACAAACCAAUGUGACUACUUAUUACUGUUGCCAUUCCAGUUUUGGUCAGUUUUUACCUUUAUCUUUUAUUUUCAUGCCAGAACAGCCACCUUUGGGAGCAAACCAAGGAAAUGAACACCUCCUUUCCCUAACCAAAUAGCAUAACAUUAGCCAGAGUAAAAGAAAAUGCACCAAAACUACCAGUGCUCAUUGGUGAUCUAGAAAUAUGAUCUUGGCCAACGACCAACACUGGAGGCCUCUCACAGAUGAGCUUGACCUCCACAUGGAUCUGUGUUGGCUCCCCAAAACUCCACCUACUGAAAGGCUGUGUCAACCAGCAAGUGCUUACUCGGCAAUGGGACAUGCACAGCACAUGGCAGAUGCUCCCAAGACAAUUGUUUAUCUCCCCUACAGAUACGCUCAGGCAGAAAUGGUCCUGGAGUUAUGCAUAGAAAGAACAUCAAAUGCUGAGAUGAAGCUUGUCUUCUGACCAGUUCGUCUUUUUAUUUUAUUUUUUAUCUCUUUAGCGUCCAGAGGUUGAAUCAAUUCCCAAAGUUCAGUGCAAUUUUUAGAGUUUACAGGCAUUCCACAGUUCUGAAGGAACAGAGUACAAAAAUCUGGUAGAGUGAACCAAACUCAUAAAACUGGGACUGCAAAAUGCCACCGCUGCCCCCAGUUUCUCAUACUCUGAUUCUAGCAGUUGAGGGGAUUCCAGGUCCAUUAACACACAUGUGUUUUUAUUUUUUUACUAGAGGUCAGUGGUAAAAUUCCCUUUGGUGCUGCAGACCUGUGUGCAGAAAUGCGAACGAUAGGAAGAUCUGGCUGGGCGCAUCCUAUUUAAUUUACACUAUGCCUGGAUCUGUCAGGUCCUAAAGAAAGAUGCAGCCCAGGAGAUUUGGGAACUUCCUAAUGUGAAUGGAGUUGGCAGCCCACAUUCUUGGCUUCCACUGAUUACAGCUUCAGUUUCUGACCCCCAGGAGGCCAAACCAGCAAGAGGAAAAUGCAUAUAGUAAAUGUUGAGACCUACGUCCAUAAUGAAAGUGCCCCCCUUUCAUCACACUGGUUCCUGUCUUCUGGCAAAGUCUACUGCUUAGAGUUAAUGCCCUCCCUCUAGCAUGGAAUUGAAGAAAAAUAUCAAAAUCUCACAUCAACCCAACAAUAGAAGGAAUUGUUUAAAACAAUAUGGCUUGCAUAAGAUUACCUAUUGGCAACCCUUUUAAGUCAGGUUUUUGAAUAACAUUUAAUUCAAUGGGGAAACACUCAAAAUGCUAAGUUAGAAAGUAGGAUGCAAAAUUGUAUUUUAUAACAUAGUCACAAAAAAGUGUUAAAUGGUUAUGUCUGUAUGGUGAGAUUAAAGAUGAUUUUAAUUUUUGGUUUUUACUUUUUACAUGA
Molecule: non-coding RNA, 10782 nt
Organism: Macaca mulatta (Rhesus monkey)
Lineage: Eukaryota; Metazoa; Chordata; Mammalia; Primates; Cercopithecidae
Source: RefSeq, a predicted model, not a curated record